RNAcentral lists this ribosomal RNA (305 nucleotides) under uncultured bacterium. RNAcentral's name for it is "bacterial SSU rRNA". It matches the Rfam family "Bacterial small subunit ribosomal RNA", at positions 337 to 634 of the family's 1533-position model. The record is from RNAcentral.
ACCUACGGGGCGCAGCAGUAGGGAAUCUUCCACAAUGGGCGAAAGCCUGAUGGAGCAACGCCGCGUGGGUGAAGAAGGUCUUCGGAUCGUAAAACCCUGUUGUUAGAGAAGAAAGUGCGUGAGAGUAACUGUUCACGUUUCGACGGUAUCUAACCAGAAAGCCACGGCUAACUACGUGCCAGCAGCCGCGGUAAUACGUAGGUGGCAAGCGUUAUCCGGAUUUAUUGGGCGUAAAGGGAACGCAGGCGGUCUUUUAAGUCUGAUGUGAGAGCCAUCGGCUUAACCGGAGUAGUGCAUUGGAAACU